This 424-nucleotide long non-coding RNA is filed under the name Amborella trichopoda. RNAcentral's name for it is "long non-coding RNA (ATRI_LNC001171)". The record is from RNAcentral. Lineage: Eukaryota; Viridiplantae; Streptophyta; Magnoliopsida; Amborellales; Amborellaceae.
CGCCUAUAAAUGAUUGCAUUGCUGAGAUUGAAGGAUAUCUGAUCCCUUUUGAGGUACUGGAUUAGACUUCUGUUUGCUUCCAUGCCCCGACUUUACUUCAUACGGGCAUCCUUUGACAAAGCUCUGUCUCUGACUUAUGUUGUGCACUGUUUUUUAGUGAGAGAAAGAGAAGUACAUUUGUAAAUAGUUAGAGAGAUAAAGGUUUGCAUUCUUUCAGUGAGAGAGAGAGAGAACAUAAAGAGAUUGUAACAGAAAUACAAAUAGAAGAAGGAACAAGUGGAAAAGGAAAAGGAAAAGGUGCAGUGGUUCUCUCUCUCUCUAACUGAUCAUCAAUCAAGAGGAUAAGGGGCAUAUCUGUGCAAAGUUUGAAUGUGCAUCGGUGUAACUCUGAUAAGGCCACUGUUUAAUUUCUAGAGAAUCAUCG